RNAcentral lists this ribosomal RNA (547 nucleotides) under uncultured marine eukaryote. RNAcentral describes it as "SSU rRNA". It matches the Rfam family "Eukaryotic small subunit ribosomal RNA", at positions 612 to 1160 of the family's 1831-position model. The record is from RNAcentral.
GUUGUGGUUAAAAAGCUCGUAGUUGGAUCUCGGCGGACUGAGGGCGGUUUGCUUGCUAGUAUUACUGCCCUAUAGUCCGUAGUUUUGCCAGAGGUUUCGGGGUGCUCUUAAUCGAGUGUCCCGGGAUGCUGGCAGGUUUACUUUGAAAAAAUUAGAGUGCUCAAAGCAGGCUAUUACGCCUGAAUAUUCGUGCAUGGAAUAAUAGAAUAGGAAGUCGUUUCUAUUUUGUUGGUUUUCCGAAAUCGACUUAAUGAUUAAUAGGGACAGUCGGGGGCAUUUGUAUUCAAACGACAGAGGUGAAAUUCUUGGACCGUUUGAAGACAAACUACUGCGAAAGCAUUUGCCAAGAAUGUUUUCAUUAACCAAGAACGAAAGUUAAAGGUUCGAAGGCGAUUAGAUACCGCCCUAGUUUUAACCAUAAACGAUGCCAGCUAGCGAUCUGCGGACGUUUUUUUUGUAGACUCCGCAGGAAGCUUCUGGGAAACCAAAGCAUUUGGGUUCCAGGGGAAGUAUGGUUGCAAAGCUGAAACUUAAAGGAAUUGACGGA